This 81-nucleotide microRNA precursor is filed under the name Heligmosomoides polygyrus. Its description in RNAcentral is "microRNA hpo-mir-10149 precursor". The record is from miRBase by way of RNAcentral. Lineage: Eukaryota; Metazoa; Nematoda; Chromadorea; Rhabditida; Heligmosomidae.
GCUUGGCGCCUGGAGGUCGUCGGGCCGCCAUAGUGGUCAGUUGGACCUCCGGCUUGGCCUGUUCCUUCUGGUCGUCGUAGC